Molecule: ribosomal RNA, 253 nt
Filed under: uncultured bacterium
Lineage: Bacteria
Description: partial 16S ribosomal RNA
Rfam family: Bacterial small subunit ribosomal RNA
Source: RNAcentral
UACAGAGGGGGCAAGCGUUAUUCGGAAUUAUUGGGCGUAAAGCGCACGUAGGCGGCUUUGUAAGUUAGAGGUGAAAGCCCGGGGCUCAACUCCGGAAUUGCCUUUAAGACUGCAUCGCUAGAAUUGUGGAGAGGUAAGUGGAAUUCCGAGUGUAGAGGUGAAAUUCGUAGAUAUUCGGAAGAACACCAGUGGCGAAGGCGACUUACUGGACACAUAUUGACGCUGAGGUGCGAAAGCGUGGGGAGCAAACAGG